CGGAAGGGGGCGUAGCGUUGUUCGGAAUUACUGGGCGUAAAGCGCGCGCAGGCGGUCUUCCAAGUCAGUGGUGAAAGCCCGGAGCUCAACUCCGGAACUGCCAUUGAAACUGUUAGACUUGAGGAGGAGAGAGGUGAGUGGAAUUCCCAGUGUAGAGGUGAAAUUCGUAGAUAUUGGGAAGAACACCGGUGGCGAAGGCGGCUCACUGGCUCAUUUCUGACGCUCAGGCGCGACAGCGUGGGGAUCAAACAGGAUUAGAUACCCUGGUAGUCCACGCCGUAAACGAUGAAUGCUAGCCGUUGGGCAGCUUGCUGUUCAGUGGCGCAGCUAACGCAUUGAGCAUUCCGCCUGGGGGAGUACGGCCGCAAGGUUG
RNAcentral lists this ribosomal RNA (373 nucleotides) under uncultured organism. RNAcentral describes it as "bacterial SSU rRNA". It matches the Rfam family "Bacterial small subunit ribosomal RNA", at positions 525 to 896 of the family's 1533-position model. The record is from RNAcentral.